Molecule: unclassified non-coding RNA, 298 nt
Filed under: Hevea brasiliensis (rubber tree)
Lineage: Eukaryota; Viridiplantae; Streptophyta; Magnoliopsida; Malpighiales; Euphorbiaceae
Source: RNAcentral
GACUGCGCAGCUCCAAGAGCAAUGGUUGCAAGCAUUGAGCGAUCACCCCAUUCGGCGAAAAAUAUAAGGCUGAACGACUUCCAAAUGAUUUCAAGUGGAUUGGAGAGCCGUUUUGAAACCUUUUCUUUAACAAGCUCCUCUGCUUCGACAUAUUCAUCAAGUUCUGGGCCACUCUCAUCACCUUGUUUAGGAACACUCGAGGGAAGAUCCCAUGCAUCUUUAAUGGACUUGAGACCAAAGAACAAUAGAAGAGUUACUGCUGCAUAUUCUCCGAUUGGUAAAGUUGUCUGGAACUGAG